This 1488-nucleotide ribosomal RNA is filed under the name uncultured bacterium. RNAcentral's name for it is "bacterial SSU rRNA". It matches the Rfam family "Bacterial small subunit ribosomal RNA". The record is from RNAcentral.
UGGUUCAGAUUGAACGCUGGCGGCAGGCCUAACACAUGCAAGUCGAACGGUAACAGGAAGCAGCUUGCUGCUUCGCUGACGAGUGGCGGACGGGUGAGUAAUGUCUGGGAAACUGCCUGAUGGAGGGGGAUAACUACUGGAAACGGUGGCUAAUACCGCAUAACGUCGCAAGACCAAAGAGGGGGACCUUCGGGCCUCUUGCCAUCAGAUGUGCCCAGAUGGGAUUAGCUAGUUGGUGAGGUAACGGCUCACCAAGGCGACGAUCCCUAGCUGGUCUGAGAGGAUGACCAGCCACACUGGAACUGAGACACGGUCCAGACUCCUACGGGAGGCAGCAGUGGGGAAUAUUGCACAAUGGGCGCAAGCCUGAUGCAGCCAUGCCGCGUGUAUGAAGAAGGCCUUCGGGUUGUAAAGUACCUUCAGCGGGGAGGAAGGUGUUGUGGUUAAUAACCGCAGCAAUUGACGUUACCCGCAGAAGAAGCACCGGCUAACUCCGUGCCAGCAGCCGCGGUAAUACGGAGGGUGCAAGCGUUAAUCGGAAUUACUGGGCGUAAAGCGCACGCAGGCGGUCUGUCAAGUCGGAUGUGAAAUCCCCGGGCUCAACCUGGGAACUGCAUUCGAAACUGGCAGGCUUGAGUCUUGUAGAGGGGGGUAGAAUUCCAGGUGUAGCGGUGAAAUGCGUAGAGAUCUGGAGGAAUACCGGUGGCGAAGGCGGCCCCCUGGACAAAGACUGACGCUCAGGUGCGAAAGCGUGGGGAGCAAACAGGAUUAGAUACCCUGGUAGUCCACGCCGUAAACGAUGUCUACUUGGAGGUUGUGCCCUUGAGGCGUGGCUUCCGGAGCUAACGCGUUAAGUAGACCGCCUGGGGAGUACGGCCGCAAGGUUAAAACUCAAAUGAAUUGACGGGGGCCCGCACAAGCGGUGGAGCAUGUGGUUUAAUUCGAUGCAACGCGAAGAACCUUACCUGGUCUUGACAUCCACAGAACUUUCCAGAGAUGGAUUGGUGCCUUCGGGAACUGUGAGACAGGUGCUGCAUGGCUGUCGUCAGCUCGUGUUGUGAAAUGUUGGGUUAAGUCCCGCAACGAGCGCAACCCUUAUCCUUUGUUGCCAGCGGUUAGGCCGGGAACUCAAAGGAAACUGCCAGUGAUAAACUGGAGGAAGGUGGGGAUGACGUCAAGUCAUCAUGGCCCUUACGACCAGGGCUACACACGUGCUACAAUGGCGCAUACAAAGAGAAGCGACCUCGCGAGAGCAAGCGGACCUCAUAAAGUGCGUCGUAGUCCGGAUUGGAGUCUGCAACUCGACUCCAUGAAGUCGGAAUCGCUAGUAAUCGUGGAUCAGAAUGCCACGGUGAAUACGUUCCCGGGCCUUGUACACACCGCCCGUCACACCAUGGGAGUGGGUUGCAAAAGAAGUAGGUAGCUUAACCUUCGGGAGGGCGCUUACCACUUUGUGAUUCAUGACUGGGGUGAAGUCGUAACAAGGUA